RNAcentral lists this ribosomal RNA (482 nucleotides) under uncultured bacterium. Its description in RNAcentral is "partial 16S ribosomal RNA". It matches the Rfam family "Bacterial small subunit ribosomal RNA", at positions 28 to 507 of the family's 1533-position model. The record is from RNAcentral.
GACGAACGCUGGCGGCGUGCUUAACACAUGCAAGUCGAACGCUGAAGCUCAGCUUGCUGGGUGGAUGAGUGGCGAACGGGUGAGUAACACGUGAGUAACCUGCCCUCUUCUUUGGGAUAACGCCCGGAAACGGGUGCUAAUACUGGAUAUUCACUGAUUCUCGCAUGGGGGUUGGUGGAAAGGUUUUUUCUGGUGGGGGAUGGGCUCGCGGCCUAUCAGCUUGUUGGUGUGGUGAUGGCCUACCAAGGCUUUGACGGGUAGCCGGCCUGAGAGGGUGACCGGUCACAUUGGGACUGAGAUACGGCCCAGACUCCUACGGGAGGCAGCAGUGGGGAAUAUUGCACAAUGGGCGAAAGCCUGAUGCAGCGACGCCGCGUGAGGGAUGGAGGCCUUCGGGUUGUAAACCUCUUUCGCUCAUGGUCAAGCCGCAGCUUUGGGUUGUGGUGAGGGUAGUGGGUAAAGAAGCGCCGGCUAACUACGUG